Molecule: long non-coding RNA, 1711 nt
Organism: Papaver somniferum (opium poppy)
Lineage: Eukaryota; Viridiplantae; Streptophyta; Magnoliopsida; Ranunculales; Papaveraceae
Exons: 4
Source: RefSeq, a predicted model, not a curated record
AAAGUUGAGGAGGAACCAAGUGAAAUUUCAACAAGAAAAUGAGAAAUAUCGGACGAACAAACAUAAAUACUUGAAGGAAGUCAAACAUCAAUGGAUAAUGAACCACUCAUCAAACGACUUGGUAGAAUUUCAAACAAAAUGUUGCCGCUCAAAGUACCAGAAAUACAACCAAAGGUUGCCACUCCAACAAAGGAUGUAAUUGCUCGGAUACGAAGAUGCUGAAGAAGCCAAUUUCUACAGAAAGUCUACAAAGUUCUAUUGAAAAUUUAGUGGACAAUAUGCCACUGGAAAAUCUAGAAAAAUCUAUUGAAAAUUUAGUGGACCAUAUUUCUGCUUUGGUUGUUCAAAGCACAGACCUAGAAGGAUCCAUUUUUAAAAAGGAAAACAAACUGAGUUUGAAAAGAAAAAAUGAAGACCAGGAUAGCAAACAUAAAGACAAAAGGAGCGAGCAAACCCCAUUAUUUCCCCUGUUUCUGAUAAGGAUAAAAGCAAGAUGAAGUCAACAAUUGCCUCCACAUCCAAAACGCAGUUAACACGUGAAGUUAGCAAAAUUAAGAUGAGAUCAACUGGCACGUAACUGAAGAAGAAUGUGAAUAAGACCAAACUAUUUUUGCAAAUGGAGGAACGCCAGCAAGAUGUUGUGCUUAAGUUCUUCAAAAAAGCAACAACAACGUCAAUUGCUUUUAAAGUAACGUCAAUGUUUGACGGUGAGGAUGAGUUCAGAGUUUGUAUAUCAGGGAAAUGUAUCGAGGACCUCAUGUUUAAUGCAUUUUUGGACGCCAGUAUCCUUAUAUACAAAGUUUAUAAGCUCAAGAAAGCAUUUGAGAAAGAUAUAAUCAAUAAGUACAUCAAAGUACUAUACCUAGAUGCAAAGUCUUUGGAGAGUCAUUACUACAUUUAAUAUUUGUUGGGAAAAAACAUUAGACAAAAUAUCUGCAGGAUAACACAGUUGCAAUGAUAUCUGCACAGUAAAAAAAUAUAUCUUCUGGUAGUAUGUUUAAGUUAAUAUCAGGUCAUUUUACUAAGUCAAUUCUACACAGUUGAAAAUGAGUGAAUAAUGAAUUCCUAUAGUACUUGUUACUAAUUCUUUUCAGUUUUUUGUCAAACACAAAGAUACUAUAUGCAAACAUCAUUGAAACACGGAGUUACAUUACCAAUAUCAAAAUAUGAAUUAUGUUGUGAAGAAGAUUAUGAUACCAUUGUACCAUGAAGAGUUGGAUUGCACACAACAUUGGGCUUUGCUGGAGUACUUUGUCCAGGAAAAAUAUUUCUUGCACUAUAAUUCGUGGUCUCACCAAUCAAGAGAACGCUGCUAUACAAAUGCCAAAGAAGUGGCAAAUGAAUGCUUGGGAGCAAUUAGCAAGUUCAUGGAGAAUGAGGGCCUAAAGAAGGUUUCUAAAGCUAUGGUCGAUGAAGCUCCAGUACCACAACAAGGGCAAUCUAAUGAUUGUUUACUGUAUGUUUGUUAUUUUAUGAAAAGACAAUCACUAAAUGAAAAUCAUGAUGGAUUUCAAAGUAGCAUGGAAGAUGCAGAUAUGCUGAAAGAGAAGAUUCAUUGGAAGAGGGCGACAAUAAUUUUCAAGUUACUCACUGCAACCACACCUGCAUAAAGUUGGAAGGAAGACAAUUCCAUAGAAUAACUGCAACAACAAAAAAUAUCUUUCAACUUACUCAGUUAUGUUUGGAUUAUUUGUAUACAUACAUUAAUUAG